Molecule: ribosomal RNA, 482 nt
Filed under: uncultured bacterium
Lineage: Bacteria
Description: partial 16S ribosomal RNA
Rfam family: Bacterial small subunit ribosomal RNA
Source: RNAcentral
AUUGAACGCUGGCGGCAUGCUUUACACAUGCAAGUCGAGCGGUAACAGGCCGCAAGGUGCUGACGAGUGGCGAACGGGUGAGUAAUGCAUCGGAACGUGCCCAGCCGUGGGGGAUAACUACUCGAAAGAGUAGCUAAUACCGCAUACGAUCUAUGGAUGACAGCGGGGGACCGUAAGGCCUCGCGCGAUUGGAGCGGCCGAUGUCAGAUUAGGUAGUUGGUGGGGUAAAGGCUCACCAAGCCAACGAUCUGUAGCUGGUCUGAGAGGACGACCAGCCACACUGGGACUGAGACACGGCCCAGACUCCUACGGGAGGCAGCAGUGGGGAAUUUUGGACAAUGGGCGCAAGCCUGAUCCAGCAAUGCCGCGUGCAGGAAGAAGGCCUUCGGGUUGUAAACUGCUUUUGUACGGAACGAAACGGCUCUGGUUAAUACCCGGGGCUAAUGACGGUACCGUAAGAAUAAGCACCGGCUAACUACGUG